UGGUUGAGGGAUUUUAAGGUCUCAUCAAUUUUAUUUAUUUACUCACAAUCAAAUAAAUAAUGUCCUAUUACAACUACUAGUCCAAAGUUAAUGAAAUUAGUAGCAUAUGAUAUCCCCACUAUUCGUUUUCAUAAAACAAAUCAAUAUCAAAACAUUUUUCAAAAUAUUGGAGAUAUAUAUAACUACUAAUUUUAUUCAUUAUAGUCUAGUAGCGUAUGAUACUCCUACUAUUUGUUUUGAAGAA
This 244-nucleotide long non-coding RNA is filed under the name Malus domestica (apple). Its description in RNAcentral is "long non-coding RNA (MDOM_LNC015430)". The record is from RNAcentral. Lineage: Eukaryota; Viridiplantae; Streptophyta; Magnoliopsida; Rosales; Rosaceae.